CCCUUAGAUGUUCUGGGCCGCACGCGCGCUACACUGGCUGGCUCAACAAGCAUCUCACCUGCGCUGGCGUGCGGGUUGGUGUGUGUGUGGAGUUUACUCCCUGCUGCAUCAGCUCAGCGCUGCUUAGCUCUGCUAAGUCGAGAGGCGUGGGCAAUCUUGAAAGGCCAGCCGUGUCUGGGAUAGGCUCUUGCAAUUUUCAGCCUUGAACGAGGAAUUCCUAGUAAAUGUGGGUCAUCAACCCGCAUUGAUUACGUCCCUGCCCUUUGUACACACCGCCCGUCGCACCUACCGAUUGAAUGGUCCGGUGAAAUCUCUGGACAGGCUUUUGUGCCUCUGCUUGGGGUAACUUGAGUGAGUGCACAAGCAGGCAGUGGUUGGUGUUUGCCAGCUGCAGCUCUGUUUGCCUGGAAGUUGAUUAAAUCUUACCAUUUAGAGGAAGGUGAAGUCGUAACA
Molecule: ribosomal RNA, 453 nt
Filed under: uncultured eukaryote
Lineage: Eukaryota
Description: partial 18S ribosomal RNA
Rfam family: Eukaryotic small subunit ribosomal RNA
Source: RNAcentral